CUGAGAUAUAUUUUAUUCUAUACUUUUGAUUAAAUGUUUUAUUAUUUUAUAAGUAAUUGCAGCUUUAAUAACUAAUUCAAUGCACAUCCGCCAAUCUAGGGUAUUUUGUUAACCAAUAUUCACCAAACUAAAUAUCAGGAUAUAAACUCAAUCUUGACGAGAUUAUAUUCCUAGGAAUUAGGACAACGAUACCUACUUAGUAUUCAAUAUAUAUAUACGAUAUUUCUACCUUUCAUCCCUACCACAUCUUCUUCAAAGCUUUAUAACUAAUACAUGUCUUAUGCUAUGCAAUUGUCUUACCUUUUCGACGUGAAACCAUUCAAAAUUGGCUGGUGCAUCCGUGUGAAUAUCAUCCACACCUAGAAACAAUUCAAUCCAAAAUUCGGUGAAUCACUAGAAAUCAUCUUAGCAACAAAAAGCGUGUAAAAUCUCAUGCAACCUGUAGGCAAAACAAUUUGAUGCGGCUGUGCAGCGUUGCCGUGUUAGACAAUGGAAGAUAAUAGAGAAUUUCUCUUCGAGUCAAGCAACUGGAUUAUACAGACUAAACAAUCAUGUGUACCGAAUGUCUUUCAUAGCACGCCCCUCCGUUGAUUCCAUGUAAAAGUGUAAUUAACGAUGACAUGUUUUUUCAUUGAUUGAGUUUGAAAGUAUUAUGAGUGGAACUUUAAAGAUAUGUUUCUUAAUUGGUAAGAAAGUCUAUAUGUAAUUUUAUUUUGAGGGGAGAGGUGGAGUGGUUAAUUUGUUUUACUUCGUCUCUUCCUAUACAUGUUUAAAGUCGCUUGCUAUCAAUAUUUUGGUAUGAAUGUUGUUUCUGUA
This is a long non-coding RNA of Raphanus sativus (radish), 816 nucleotides long. RefSeq lists it as uncharacterized. NCBI's taxonomy places the organism in Eukaryota, Viridiplantae, Streptophyta, Magnoliopsida, Brassicales, Brassicaceae. The record is from RefSeq and is a predicted model, not a curated record. The transcript has 2 exons.